CCUACGGGAGGCAGCAGUAAGGAAUAUUGGUCAAUGGAGGCAACUCUGAACCAGCCAUGCCGCGUGCAGGAAGACGCCCUAUGGGUUGUAAACUGCUUUUAUCUGGGAAUAUGUACCAGAAGAAUAAGGAUCGGCUAACUCCGUGCCAGCAGCCGCGGUAAUACGGAGGAUCCAAGCGUUAUCCGGAUUUAUUGGGUUUAAAGGGUGCGUAGGCGGCCUGUUAAGUCAGGGGUGAAAGACGGUAGCUCAACUAUCGCAGUGCCCUUGAUACUGAUGGGCUUGAAUGGACUAGAGGUAGGCGGAAUGAGACAAGUAGCGGUGAAAUGCAUAGAUAUGUCUCAGAACACCGAUUGCGAAGGCAGCUUACUAUGGCUAUUGACGCUGAGGCACGAAAGCGUGGGGAUCAAACAGGAUUAGAUACCCUUGUAGUC
Molecule: ribosomal RNA, 431 nt
Filed under: uncultured bacterium
Lineage: Bacteria
Description: partial 16S ribosomal RNA
Rfam family: Bacterial small subunit ribosomal RNA
Source: RNAcentral